UGGGGAAUUUUGGACAAUGGGGGAAACCCUGAUCCAGCCAUCCCGCGUGUGCGAUGAAGGCCUUCGGGUUGUAAAGCACUUUUGGCAGGAAAGAAACGUCAUGGGUUAAUACCCCGUGAAACUGACGGUACCUGCAGAAUAAGCACCGGCUAACUACGUGCCAGCAGCCGCGGUAAUACGUAGGGUGCAAGCGUUAAUCGGAAUUACUGGGCGUAAAGCGUGCGCAGGCGGUUCGGAAAGAAAGAUGUGAAAUCCCAGAGCUCAACUUUGGAACUGCAUUUUUAACUACCGGGAUAGAGUGUGUCAGAGAGAGGUGGAAUUCCGCGUGUAGCAGUGAAAUGCGUAGAUAUGCGGAGGAACACCGAUGGCGAAGGCAGCCUCCUGGGAUAACACUGACGCUCAUGCACGAAAGCGUGGGGAGCAAACAGG
RNAcentral lists this ribosomal RNA (429 nucleotides) under Acidobacteriota bacterium. RNAcentral's name for it is "Acidobacteria bacterium partial 16S ribosomal RNA". It matches the Rfam family "Bacterial small subunit ribosomal RNA", at positions 355 to 776 of the family's 1533-position model. Lineage: Bacteria; Pseudomonadati; Acidobacteriota. The record is from RNAcentral.